RNAcentral lists this unclassified non-coding RNA (406 nucleotides) under soil metagenome. RNAcentral's name for it is "partial contains 5.8S ribosomal RNA, internal transcribed spacer 2, and large subunit ribosomal RNA". The stretch from base 1 to 121 matches the Rfam family "5.8S ribosomal RNA", at positions 35 to 154 of the family's 154-position model. The record is from RNAcentral.
GAUGAAGAACGUAGCGAAAUGCGAUAAGUAAUGUGAAUUGCAGAAUUCAGUGAAUCAUCGAAUCUUUGAACGCACCUUGCGCCCUUUGGCCAUUCCGAAGGGCAUGCCUGUUUGAGUAUCAUGAACACCUCAACUCUUCAUGGUUUUCCGUGAUGAGCUUGGACUUUGGGGGUCUUGCUGGCCUAUGGUCAGCUCCUCUAAAAUAAAUCAGCUUGCCAGUGUUUGGUGGGUAUCACAGGUGUGAUAACUAUCUACGCUUGUGGUUGUCCACCAGGUAACCUUCAGCAGUGGAGGUUCGCUGGAGCUCACAGAUGUGUCUCUCCUCAGUGAGGACAGCUCUUUGAAUGUUUGAUCUCAAAUCAGGUAGGACUACCCGCUGAACUUAAGCAUAUCAAUAAGCGGAGGA